This 406-nucleotide unclassified non-coding RNA is filed under the name Hevea brasiliensis (rubber tree). The record is from RNAcentral. Lineage: Eukaryota; Viridiplantae; Streptophyta; Magnoliopsida; Malpighiales; Euphorbiaceae.
AUAGGAACCUACAAAUUUCUUCAAAAUUCUUUAAAUUGACAACAAAUUCACAAAACCCACACAAGACCCAAUGGUUUUAGAGCAAAACUAACUCCAAAGGAAUUGUGAAUGAUCUAAAGAAGCACCUGAAAAUCAAAAUUGGUGAUGAAGAGUCAAAACCACAUGAAAAUGGGUAGAGAAACAUUGUUUGAAGAGGAAGCUUUGUGUCUUUGGACCGAAAGUAGGAGUGCCAGUUAGGAACGGUGCUAGAUGGUUGGCCACGAUGAACGACAACGUGGCAAGUGGCUCGAUGGCACUUGGUCACUAGUGAAGGAACAGUAGCGGCGCUGGGUCGCGCCAAGGAGGAACAUGCAUUGGUGAAGGUCGACCAAAAAGAAAGGGAAGAAAGGAGAGAGAGAGAGAGAGA